AGACAAACGUGUCAAUACAGGAAAAUGAGCUAACUCUGUGGCUGGCGGGUCCUGAUGGCUGUACUAACUUUUCAUUACACGCCUCCAGUUUUGUCGGUACAUUGCUACUCAUCUGUUUGGAAAAGACAAUCUCAGAUCACGUAAUUCUGCUGUCUGUGCUGGCACUCCAUUCAGCAUGCAGCAGCCCUAAUUCUGAGAGAUCUAUGAUGAAAUUUGCAGAGGACACAGCAACAGAGAUCUCUGGAAUUACCCUGUAACAGAAGAGAAGGCCUCACCUGCUGCAUGGGAUUCACUUCGCUCGCUUCUGACCUGUACGCCCAACUCAUUGGGCAGUCAGGAGCCUCUUCCACACAAAUGGCAGAGAGGAUGGACCAGAAGGAAAAUUGAGGACAUUUGUGCAAGCUGGAAUGUAAGCGCUAUGAUCCACUGCUGGUAGACAAAACACAUCUGCAAAUCUAGCUCCUGUCUCAUACAAAUGUUCUCAUUUUACUCAUAUAGAAAUAAUUAGCUCAUGUAUAAAUAAAAUUUCAUCAUUCUUUUGUGAAAGAGGAAAA
Molecule: long non-coding RNA, 554 nt
Filed under: Phasianus colchicus (ring-necked pheasant)
Lineage: Eukaryota; Metazoa; Chordata; Aves; Galliformes; Phasianidae
Description: lncRNA (ENSPCLG00000012917.1)
Source: RNAcentral